This 468-nucleotide ribosomal RNA is filed under the name uncultured bacterium. Its description in RNAcentral is "partial 16S ribosomal RNA". It matches the Rfam family "Bacterial small subunit ribosomal RNA", at positions 28 to 507 of the family's 1533-position model. The record is from RNAcentral.
GACGAACGCUGGCGGCGUGCUUAACACAUGCAAGUCGAACGGAAAGGCCCUGCUUUUGUGGGGUGCUCGAGUGGCGAACGGGUGAGUAACACGUGAGUAACCUGCCCUUGUCUUUGGGAUAACUUCAGGAAACUGGGGCUAAUACCGGAUAGGAGCUCCUGCUGCAUGGUGGGGGUUGGUAAGUUUCGGCGGUUGGGGAAGGACUCGCGGCUUAUCAGCUUCUUGGUGGGGUAGUGGCUUACCAAGGCUUUGACGGGUAGCCGGCCUGAGAGGGUGACCGGCCACAUUGGGACUGAGGUACGGCCCAGACGCCUACGGGAGGCAGCAGUGGAGAAUAUUGCAGAAUGGGCGGAAGCCUGAUGCAGCAACGCCGCGUGCGGGAUGACGGCCUUCGGGUUGUAAACCGCUUUCGCCUGUGACGAAGCGUGAGUGACGGUAAUGGGUAAAGAAGCACCGGCUAACUACGUG